This 495-nucleotide ribosomal RNA is filed under the name uncultured bacterium. RNAcentral describes it as "partial 16S ribosomal RNA". It matches the Rfam family "Bacterial small subunit ribosomal RNA", at positions 28 to 507 of the family's 1533-position model. The record is from RNAcentral.
GACGAACGCUGGCGGCGUGCCUAAUACAUGCAAGUAGAACGCUGAAGGAGGAGCUUGCUUCUCUGGAUGAGUUGUGAACGGGUGAGUAACGCGUAGGUAACCUACCUGGUAGCGGGGGAUAACUAUUGGAAACGAUAGCUAAUACCGCAUAAGAGUAGAUGUCGCAUGACAUUUGCUUAAAAGGUGCAAUUGCAUCACUACCAGAUGGACCUGCGUUGUAUUAGCUAGUUGGUGAGGUAACGGCUCACCAAGGCAACGAUACAUAGCCGACCUGAGAGGGUGAUCGGCCACACUGGGACUGAGACACGGCCCAGACUCCUACGGGAGGCAGCAGUAGGGAAUCUUCGGCAAUGGACGGAAGUCUGACCGAGCAACGCCGCGUGAGUGAAGAAGGUUUUCGGAUCGUAAAGCUCUGUUGUAAGAGAAGAACGAGUGUGAGAGUGGAAAGUUCACACUGUGACGGUAUCUUACCAGAAAGGGACGGCUAACUACGUG